Molecule: ribosomal RNA, 253 nt
Filed under: uncultured bacterium
Lineage: Bacteria
Description: partial 16S ribosomal RNA
Rfam family: Bacterial small subunit ribosomal RNA
Source: RNAcentral
UACGAAGGGGGCUAGCGUUGCUCGGAAUCACUGGGCGUAAAGCGCGCGUAGGCGGCUUUCUAAGUCAGGGGUGAAAUCCUGGAGCUCAACUCCAGAACUGCCUUUGAUACUGGAGAGCUUGAGUCCGGGAGAGGUGAGUGGAACUCCGAGUGUAGAGGUGAAAUUCGUAGAUAUUCGGAAGAACACCAGUGGCGAAGGCGGCUCACUGGCCCGGUACUGACGCUGAUGUGCGAAAGCGUGGGGAGCAAACAGG